UUUUUUUUUUUUUUUUUUUGGGUUUGGUUUUUCCUGGAAUGGUGGAAAGAAAUGUUUCUAUGUACUUAAAUUGAUGAGAUGUACUGAAUUUUAGUGGAAUUCGGAAAGAAUAGUAUUGAUACUAAUAAUUACGCUGGGGACAACCUAAGAAAAGAACAAAAAGGAGAAAGGGAUCCAUAGUUGCAUCCAAUGGAAGAUAUACUCCCUCCGUCCCACUUUGAUAGUCCUGUUUUUUUUCACACAGUUUAAAAAAAAGUAGUUAAUUUUGUUGAAAAAGUAAAUUUAGAUUAUUAAUUUUCUAAAAUACCCUCACAUUAAAUGUGGUACAACUUUAUGGGAACUUGAAUUGAUGGUAAAAAAACGAAUCAAUUCUCAUUAAAUGGGGUAGGUUUAUAGUAACAACUACUUACAUUGAAUAAGGGUAUUUUAGAAAAAUUAAAAUACAACUACAUUCUUCAAUUGGAAAGUGGACUACAAUUUGAGACAGAUGAAAAGGGAAUACAAGACUAUCAAAGUGGGACAGAGAGAGUACUACUUAUGUAUGCAUGAGCCUUCCAUCUAAAAAAAUAAAAAUCCGAGAUUUAGUUGCGGCGAUGAGUCUUCGUUACUUUUUUUUUUUUUUGGAUCAAUCGUCACUUUUUUUAUCUAUAUCCUACUUUAUUCUAAUCUAACUAAGGGAAAUGCCAACUGGACAUACGGGAGGUUGAUAUAGAUAGUGACGGAACCAGGAUUUUUUCCUUGGGGAUGGCCAAAAUUUUUUCGGACAUAAUUACCUUAACAUGUUAUGUUCAAAAUAAUUUUCAUUUAUUUAAAUAUAUGACAUCCUAAAAUAUCAAAUUUUAAUUUUAAUUAUAAAGGUAUGUCUAUUUCAUAAAUAUAUAACAUAGUCAUAACUAAAAUUAAGGCAAGCAGUAACCUUUGAUUAAAUAUCAUAUAACAUCACAAACCACCUAAGUUGCACAUUAUGAGAAGAUGUCCCAAUAUGUCACUUGUGCAAAAACAAAAAUAUAACUAUGCAAUAUAAAUAUAAACUAUUUUCAAUUAAAAAAAGAUAAAAGUUAUGUUAGCAUACCUUGAAAUUUUAUCCUCUUUUAUUAAAAGUAAAUUGACAUUUACAUUCUUUUAUAGAACUAAAUUAAUGUAUAAUUGAAUCAAUGCUAAAUUUUCGAAUAACUUUCUUUUUUUAUGUACAUUAUUAGGCAAUCAUUCAAGAAAUUAUCUUUUAUCUUGUUUUGGAGCUUUGUUUUGAUUAUUCUCAUAAUUAAAAAUAUCCAUUCUAUAGACUAUAGAACGGAGCCAAGCUUUUUUCCUUGGGAGGGGGGUCAAAAUUUUUCUGAACAAAAUUAUCUUAAUAUGUUAUAUUCAAAAUAUUUUUCAUCUGUUUAAAUAUAUGACAUCUUAAAAUAUCAAAUAUUAAUUUUAAUUAUAAAGAUAUGUCUAUUUCAUAAAUAUGCAGCAUAGUCAUAACAAAAAUUAGGAUAAAAAUAACUUUUGAUUAAAUAUCUUAUAACAUCACAAACUAUCCAAAUUGUACAUUAUGAGAAAAUGCUCCAAUAUGUCACUUGUGCAAAAAACAAAAAUUAACUAUGCAACAUAAAUAUAACUAUUUUCAAUUAAUAAAAGAUAAAAAUUAUGUUAGCGUACCUUGAAUUUCAACCUCUUUUCUUAAAAAUAAACUGAGUUUUAUGUUCUUUUAUAGAACUAAAUUCAUAUGUUAUUGAAUUAGUACUGAAUUUUUGAACAAAAUUUUUUUUAUGUACAUUGUUAGACAAUCAUUCAAGAAAUUGUCUUUUAUCUUGUUUUGGAUCUUUGUUUUGAUUAUAUUCAUAAUUGAAAAUGUCCAUUCUAUAGUUGCAGUUGACAUAUGAAGAGUGAAAACAAAUAUAAUCAAUCUGUCAAUAACAUGAUAGAUUACUCAAUUUCGCGUCUUCACCAAAUCUUCAAGUAAUUAUUUGUAUAUUUGUAUAUGGGUCAACAAGAGUAUAGAUCACUAAUUUUAAGUUUUUUUAUCAAUCAGGCUAUGUUGCAUAUUUGUAUAUGGACCAAUGAAGUAAUUUUUUUUGUUUUAGCCCAUUGAUAAUUAUGAAUUGAGUCUUUUAUUAUAAUAUAUCAAAUUGGGUCAAUUUACUAUGGAUCAUCAAAAUAUAUGUUUAAUUUUUUGAAUGUUAAAUAAUUAGCACAAUACAAAAUAAAUAACUUUUUUUGGAGAAAAAAUUAAAUCAAAGGUGGCUAAUUUAUACACACCCACACACAGAUAUAUAUAUAUAUAUAUAAGCUCUCAUAAUAUAAACUAAAAUUAUAAAAAAUCAGGGGGGCCAACUUUGUCUUAUACAUAUAUUUACAUAUUAUGAAUUAAAAUUUUCAAAACUUAGGGAGGGCCAUGGCCCCCCUUGACUCCGUCAUUGGAUGGGGACAUAACCACCAUCGAACUAGACGGGUAUACUAUGCACCCAUCUGAAUUUUUUAAAGAAUCACAUAAUGUGACAAUUAGUGGGAGACAAGUUUUGACCGUUGCCGCUUGGUGGUGGCCACCAGCCUUUAGUCUUCGUUAAUUAGUAAAUAUUCAUUAUUAUUCCUUUGAUCAUGUUUGCAUGGGCUAAGUUGGUCAAGGAAACGAGCGAAAAGGCGCAGCGUCAUGGGUCAACACAGGAAUCUCAACUUCUGACGGAAUUACCAUGCAAGAUGAAUCAAUCCUUUCUUUCUUUCUUUUUUUUUUUUUUCAAAUAAUAGAUGCAAAUCGCUAAUUAAGUUAACUGAAAAUUUGCAUCAGAGGUAGCUUAUUUCAAUAACCCCACGGGUUUAAUGCACCGAAUUGCGAUGUUGUUGAUCCUAUGCAGGUACCUGGAUAAAAUGAUUCUUUUUUUUUUUUGUGGUAAUUUUUGGGUCCAGUGAAUUGGGCCAGUUCAAAAUCCAUCCUCUAGCUGGAGCUCUUGAUUUCUUGACCCUCUUGCCUCUUGGAAUGGUGGUGGCGUAGGCUGAUGGAUUUUCGUAAGUUCAUGGAACGGGCUUUCCUGAAAGUCUGGGGAAACAAGGUUCAAGUUGGUCCUUGUUCUAUGGUUCGAACAGAUCUGCUCAAGAGGACUCUGCCCUCUGGGGAAUGCGGUUUGGACUAGAAGGACAUCAGGCUCAUAGGCCCACUUCUUUUACAUAUAUAGCCCGUUAACAUUAUGGCAAUGUCAAAAAUUUGUUAAAUUACAGCAAUGCGCAAAUGUCGAGUAAUUAUUCAACCAGAAAAAAAAAAGUCGAGUACUUAACUAAAUUAGUAAUCAUUGACAUUGUUGCCUAUACACCAUAAAAGGACCUCUACAUAUAUUUGUAGUGCACUUAGCGAUAUGGCAUCAAAUCAAAUUUGUGACUGAAUUGGUUAGCACGAGUUAUUUUCUCAUAAAAGAUUGCAUGCUGUAAAGAAAUUUUUAUAAUCAAUCUAUGAUUUUGAAAACAUAUACCCUGAUCCAUUGUAGUAAUUGAAGCCGAGAACUCAUUUAUGCUUGAUAGUUACCCAAAAAAAAAAUAUCAAAUUUGGACUAUCUCAUUGUUCACAAAAAGGUACAAAUAUUUUUCUGGUGUCAAUUUUAUUUGAGAAGUCGGAUUUACAAAAAAAAAAAAAAAACUCGUUUCUAUGCAUCAGCAACAACGCUCUAAUCAAAGAAGAAUGAAGAAGAUAGCAGAAAUAAGUGAUUCACAAAUAAAGAAGGAACAACAAACAAUACUGUAGAAUUGAUAAUUCUAGAGCCAAGUGUUAGUUAACCUCGUGCAUGUUUUUUGGGAACCUUACACACAUAGUUUUGUGGAAAAUCUCGUAUCAAUAGUCUAAUUUACGGCAAGUGAAACAGCUUGAAUAUACUGUUGGGCAGAGGUAGGGUUGCAAACGAAACGAGCCGAGUCUCGACUAAAUUUUACCAAGCUCGAGCUCGAGCUCGAUGAGCCGGCAAAUUUCGAGCUCGAACUCGAAAAAAAAAUAAAAAAUAAUUAUUUUAUUUUAAAAAAAAUAAAUAAAAUAAUAUUUUUUUUCUUAAUAAAUAAUAAAAUAUUAAGGAUAUAUACGUAAUUUUACUAUGAAAAUAAAAAAAAUAUAUAUAAUAUACGUAAUUUUAUUAUUAAAUAAAAAAAUAUAUAUAUAUAUAUUUACCCAACCUCGUGAGCCGACUCGCGAACUAACGAGUUUAAUAUUCUGAGCUCGAGCUCGAACUCGAGUUGGACUCGAACAGGCUCGAGCUCGACUCGAGCGGCUCGCGAGCGGUUCGAUUCGUUUGCAGACCUAGGCAGAGGGGAAGCCACAAUUGUAGAGGGAUUCUUUACAUUUGGACAUAUCAUCAACAGUCUAACUCGAGCUCUUUCCAUUCUUUUUUUUUUUUUUUUUUUUUGUGAAGGAUUAAAAUUAGAAAACAAAAAAUGCAAACUUCUCGCUGGUUCUUCCUGUCAAAGUUUCAAACGGAUGUUAUUUUGGGAAUGUAUUUCAAGACCAUCCUAUUUUUCGCUACCCUUAAUUCCAUUACUGGUGGAGCAUUGCUAUAGUGCCUCCUCUGCUGGCAAAACGAUUCAUGACCCAAGAAUUGAACAGCCUGAUUCUAAAGACAGUCGAGUUUUAAUUGUUAGAUUAUUACUACUAGCUCAUAGGCGCUCGUUUCGAAAGAAUUCUUGCUGGCGCUGGCAAUGAGCCACACGAGGAGGAAUUCUUUCGUUUAAUAUUCUUUCAUUUGACCUUCGCAACAAAUAUUCAAGUCAUGGCGGAAGAUCUCGAAAUGCAGGGUAGCGAUGCCGGCAACAACAGGGACUCUGAAGGGCCAAAUGAAACGAGUACCAAGGGUUCCUUCCAUGGGGACCUGAUUCUCGCAAAGAAAUAUCAGCCUUCGCUGCGUCGGCGAAAAGUAAUUAAUUUGUUUCAAUUGUUGAUCAUCAUAAAAUCUGUUGGACUAGUGACAGCCAUCUUGUAUUUUAUGAUCACAGAACGCAACGAUGGGAGAGUCCUUCUAAUUUCCAUCGAUCCCACAGAUGAAUUUAUGGUUACUAAUUCAGACAAAAUGCUGGUGUUUGACGUCUCAGGAAUACACGUUGGUGCAAACAUUGUUGUUGGCGUAUCAGUCUCUUGGAGUCGUGUACGGAGACAUUGGCACUUCACCUCUCUACGUGUUGUCAUCUGUUCGGCUCGACAAACCUACGGAAGAAGACAUGAUCGGAAUCCUCAGUCUCGUCUUUUGGACCUUGACCAUAAUCCCGUUGAUCAAAUACGUCUUCAUUGUCCUUCGGGCUGAUGAUCAUGGCGAAGGUGGAACUUUUGCUCUGUAUUCUUAUCUGUGCAGGCAUAUAAACUUCCGAAGCAAACUGACCAUCCAAAGCACAAGAUUAGAAUCUGAUGCAACCAUGAGUUUUUACACCCAAGGGAGUGCAAUACAGUCUAAGACCAAACAAUUCAUUGAAAACAGUCGCGCAGCACAGAAUCUCCUCACGUUCGUUGUACUUUUGGGUACCUCGAUGGUGAUCGGUGAUGGCGCCUUGACACCGGCCACCAGUGGUAAGCAAUCGAUCAUAAACCCAACAUUCGUAGUAAUGAAUGAUAAUACUCGAAUCAUUAACGGUUGAAAUUCUCUUUCAUUAACGGUAUGUUUCUAUGGCACUUAAAACAUUCCUUCCACGACUAAUAAUCUUUCCGUACAGUUCUUUCGGCUCUUGCGGGAAUUCAAACACUUUCCUCAAAGAUAACAACAGGUACAUUUUUGUUCAUCUGCAUAUCAUGGUAUUUGAUUAAUAAUGAAACUACCAAAAUUAUACAAAUGAGUGAUGUUUGGUCAGGGUAUGUUGUGUUCAUGGCGGUUGUGAUACUGUUGGCUCUAUUCCUUUUCCAGUCAUGUGGGACGAGCAAAGUCGGGUUCUCAUUCUCCCCGAUCAUGUUUUUGUGGUUUGCUGCGAAUGUUUUCAUUGGCAUUUACAAUAUUGUCGCCUAUAAUCCUGCUGUCCUCCGUGGUUUAUCACCUCACUACAUUUUCAAGUUCUUUGGAAAACAAGGCAAAUCUGGCUGGGAGGUUUUAGGCGCCGUUUUCUUGUGCACAACAGGAGGAGAAGCCAUGUUUGCUGAUUUGGGCCACUUUAAUAAGAGAGCCAUUCAGGUGUUUGCCAUUACAAAGUUUAAAUGCUCAAUACUCUGCAUCGAGCAGCCCAUAACAAAUGUUUGCAAGUUUAGUUAACCAAUCACAAUACUGCUUUUGCAGCUGGCUUUCUCCUUCUUUGUCUAUCCAUCUCUGGUGCUGUGUUAUGCUGGUGAGGUAGCUUUCUUGUCUAAGCAUCCCGAUGCCCUGACCAACGCUUUCUACAGCUCCAUUCCUAAGACAGUUUACUGGCCGAUGUUCGUGUUAGCAACCUUGGCCGCAACAAUUGCCAGCCAAUCUAUGAUAUCGGCCUCAUUUUCUAUUGUUAAGCAAUCUUUGGCUUUAGGUUGCUUCCCCCGGGUUAACAUAAAGCAGACAUCCCCCAAACAUGCGGGGCAAAUUUACUCCCCAGAAAUCAACUACAUCCUGAUGAUCAUUUGUAUUGCUCUCGUAUUGAGAUUCAAACAAGGGGUUGAGAUAGGAAACGCAUAUGGUAAUUAAACCGCCUUUUUCAGCUAUAUGAAGUUCGACUCGAGUGAAUAUUGGUAUAUAUGUUGGAUAUUAAUCAAUCUUGGCCUAAUCAACUGCAGGUGUGGCUGUCAUAUGGGUGAUGAUAAUAACUACAUGUUUGGUGACGCUGGUGAUGUUGGUCAUUUGGGAUACAAAGUUUCCUCUGAUCCUUGCAUUUUUCAUUCCAUUCAUAUUCAUCGAGGGCGCAUUCAUGACUUCCUUGCUCAACAAAAUCCCUCAAGGUGGAUGGGUGCCAUUUGCAAUCUCCGGUUUCUUCCUGGUGAUCAUGCUGUCGUGGACUAGCGGGAGGAGCAAAAAGACCUCAUUUGAUGCAGAAAGGAAGCUGAGUCUAACGGAAUUCACGAGCGUGCUGUCGAGUAAUGAUCUCUAUCGUCCCCCUGGUAUUUGUCUCUUCUGUACCGACCUUGUCAAUGGGAUUCCGCCCAUCGUUCGCCAUUAUAUUCAGAGCACAAACUCUCUUCGUGAAAUUACCGUGAUCAUCACAAUAAGGACCCUACCAAUCAAAACAGUCCUUGCAGAGGAGCGUCUUGACGUGGGAAGAUUGGGAAUAGAUGGGGUAUACAGGUGUUUGAUUCAGUUCGGUUACAAGGAUUUGCAGAGCUUGGAAGAAGAUGACAUUGUUGCUUCCAUUGUGGCAAAACUCCGCGACACAGCUGAAACGGAGGAAGAGGCAGAAAAGCUUGGAAAAGCUAUGAAGAAAGGCGUGGUGUUCGUGGCUGGUCGGACUAUUCUCAAAUCGAAGGAGAGCAAUGGAUGGCUUUCUCAUUUGGUGAUAGAUUACUUGUACAGAUUCCUGCAGAAGAACUGCAGAUCAGCACUCACUUCACUUAAAAUCCCUCCUGGAAAGUUUUUACAAGUUGGGAUGCACUAUGAAAUUUAAGACCACCUGCGCGAUCCGUCAGCUUCACUCUAUGAUUCUAUCUAAUUAAUUUUGUUCGAUGUCCUUCAUGGCAGCACUAAUAAUGUAAGUUUCGAACUUUGUCUGCUGUAAAAUUAAGCACAGUCCUACGGUCCCAAGUCUUUGAACAAUGAGUGAGAACGAGGAAAGAUGGUAAAGCGUAUUGAACGAGUAUUAGAUGGAUACUCUCCUAAUGCAUCACAAUUAGCAUAGUGGUUCUUUGUUUUUAAAAAAUUCAUGGAGUGCAAUAAUAUAGGUUAAUGUAGUAGUAGUAGGGUAGAUUUUUGUUGUUGCCAAAAAAAAGUAAAAAAAAAAAGAGCAUUAGAUUAAUACCUUUGGUGACGUAGUAUUUUAUAGGCAAUUUCCCUUUAAUAUUACCACUUCCAUCAUCAAGCUUAACUUAUGCGAGCUUGGAACUUUUUUCCUAAAAAAAAAAAAAAUUAUUUUUAAUUCUGUUCCAAAAGAGUGAGGGUGCAUUUGAUAAAACUGAAAUCUAAAAUCUGAAACACGAGCUCAUCGAAAACAAACAGGCAUGCGUACGUAGAAGUUAAAAUUUUGAAACUAAAGGCUAUUCGAAUUUUCACGGCUUCAAUAGGAUUUUACAUCUUAGAUACAUACCACUGCAUGAAAAUUCUCGCCUGCUGCAUCAAUUAAUGGCUGCCAAUCACUUCGAGAGUUUAAAUAAUUAUUCUUGUUUCUGACCGUAGGUGGACGUGGAGCCAUGAAGCUUAGCGUUAAAAAAUGACCCAAUUAAUGUACUAAUCACUCGGACAGUUUAAUUAUCUUUCUUGUCUCAGUCCGUAGGUGGAACCAUGAAUCUUAGCGUUAAAAAUGACCCAAAUAAAUUACUCCCUCCGUCCCACUUUGAUAGUCUUGUUUCUUUUUUCACACAGUUUAAGAAAAAGUAGUUAACUUUGUUGGAAAAGUAAAUUUAGAUUGCUAUUUUUCUAAAAUACCCUCACAUUAAAUAUGGUACAACUUUAUGGGAACUUGAAUUGAUGGUAAAAAAAGAAUCAAUUCUCAUUAAAUGGGGUAGGUUUAUAGUAACAACUACUUACAUUGAAUAAGGGUAUUUUAGGAAAAUUAAAAUACAACUACAUUCUUAAAUUGGAGAGUGGACUACAAUUUGGGACAGAUGAAAAAGGAAUACAGGACUAUCAAAGUGGGACGGAGGGAGUAUUAGCUUUUUAGAACAAAGUAGUAGUACUUGCCGACAAAAGAGCGACCCUUAGUGGGCAUGGUGGAGCAUGCAUUUCCAUCCGUACCCGUUUAAACAUCCACACCCACCUCACUUAAUUGGUUUUGGAUUACUAAAAAAAUUUAGAUGGACGUUAAUGGACAUCCAAGUAAAAUCAAUUGGUUUGACGUUUUUAAGUGGAUGAUCAUCCACAUAAUCCAUCUAAAUCCAUUUUAAAAAGUAAUGAGCAAGCCCAGCACGUUUUGGCAGUACUAAUGAUAAUGUUUCUUAUAUGCUAACACUUUUUAUGAUGUGAUGUAUGUGAGAUAAAACGGUGAUUGAGAAUAUAAAAAGGUGAAUUGAAAAAUGUGUUUAUAAUGCAAGCGAAAAAUUUGCUAUCCAAACAUAGCCACAGUUGCACUCCCAGUCCAAGACGUUGUUCAGCUCUUCCCACUCACGCGAUCAAAGUUUUUUUUUUUUUUUUUUUCUCUCAAUCCAAUUUAGUUAUCAUCAGAACUCAUCCUAUUAACUUAGGAGUGUCAUUUUAAUCUACCUAUUAGUUAAAGAAAUUAACUUUGUGUUAGUCAAAUAGAUCUUGACUUUGUGUUAGUUAAAUAGAUUUUAAAUAAAAAAUUGAGUAUACAUCAUUCAUUUGGAUCCAAUCCACAUAUAACCCACUUAUUAUAUGGAUUUAAAUCGAUUUGAUUAUUUAAUCUAUGAUCCAUUUAUAUAAAACAAAUUAUGAUCCAAAUAUCCAUUUUUACACCUCUACCUAAUAUUACUUGAAUUCGAGGCUUAUAAUCAACAAGCUCUCGACUCUUUUUUUUUUGGGUAUUUUUUUUCCUUCUUUUUUUGGUUUUUUGGGGGGGGGGGGGGGGAGUUCAUAACAAUCAUGUACGUAAUUUGAUUUCGCUAUUCUUGAUACGUAUAAGCCUCUUAAACAGCAAUCAUUCGUUGAAUUUUUAUUUUUUAAUGUGGGCUCUGUUGUGGAGGCAAUGCUUUUAAAUUGAUUCCUGCACAUUCUGUAUUUCAUUCACAUGGUACCAAAGCCAACUUCGAAGUUCGAUUGCAAAUUCCAAAGCACUCACUAUAGCCAAUUGUCACGUUGGAUCAGAUUCAGGCCGCUCUACAAAAUAAUAACAAGCAUGGAAGGCAAAGUUGCUAACAGCUCCGUGCUAGAAGACGAUCUUGAAAAUGGUGGCACUGGAGAGGACACGGUCGGUUUUCGCCCAGCUGGUGCUGGAAACAUUAUUGAACUAUCAUCUGCCGUGGACAGAACCCUGAGCUUUAGUCGAGUUUUCAAGUCUUCCCCAACGCCAAACGAGCCCAAGGUCUAUAUAUACCAUAUAUGCUUGGUCGAUUGCCAUUUCUCAUCUUAGGUUAUUCAGUCACAUAUAUAUGUUGCCUUGCUUCAGUCCAUAGAUUAAACACACGACCGGCAUGUACACUCAACUCUAAACUAAGUAUCAGGCAACUUUUUUAACACCUAAACACAAUUUUUUUAACAAUCAUAUGAUGUGAUCAGGAAUAUCCAGCGGCGCAGACAUUGUUGUUGGCUUACCAAUCACUUGGAGUUGUGUAUGGAGACCUUGCUACCUCUCCUGUCAACGUGUUUUCCGCUACAAACUUGACAAACGUUACUGCAGAAGAUCUACUGGGGACCUUCAGCCUUAUGUUUUGGAGUUUGACUAUCAUAGUUUGGAUCAAAUAUGUUUUCAUCGUCAUUCAUGCCGAUGAUCAUGGUGAAGGAGGUACUUUCGCUUUAUAUUCCUAUCUCCGUCGACAUAUAAAUUUCCGGACCAAGUUUACAAUUCAAAAUACAAGGUUGAGCACUGAUGAAAGCAUGAGGUUUUCUAACCGCCCCAGCCCCCUACGUUCCAAGACCAAGGAAUUCAUAGAGAGAAGUAUCAGAGCUCAGAAUUUUAUUAUUGUAAUUGUUUUGCUUGGAACUUGCAUGGUCAUUGGGGAUGGAGCACUGACUCCAGCCACUAGCGGUAAUUUCUGCCUCCGAACCAUUCGAAGGAACAAACACAUAUCUUGACAGUCGGGGUUUCAUAACAAUCUCUUGCAAAACAAAAUGUAUUGUUGCUCCGUAAGAAAUUCAUAGCAGUAUUUGAAAUGCUCCUCGUGCGACUUUUAAACUAACAAUAAACAGCAUCUCGGGUCCAAAAGCUCUUUAAAAUCAGGGUUUAUUAUUUCUUUUAUUUUUUUUUCAAGCUCUUUUUUCCCCUUUUUAUGGGCAGUACUAUCAGCGGUUCAAGGUGUCCAAUCCCUCUCUCCAAAGAUUACCCAAGGUACGUACUUCUUGAUUGAAGUUUAUCUUCUUGAGAGUAAAGCAGUCCCAGGAUACUCACAGCAACUACAGAAUUUUCCCUUUUUUGACUGCCGCAGACCAUGUUGUGUUCACGUCCGUUGCUGUUCUGAUACCACUCUUCCUCUUCCAACGCUGCGGAACAAGCAAAGUCAGCUUCACCUUCUCUCCAAUCAUGCUACUCUGGCUGGCUACCAAUGCUUCCAUCGGAAUUUACAACAUUUUCAAAUAUUAUCCGUCCAUUCUCAAGGCUGUGUCCCCUCACUACAUAGUGCUGUUCAGUUCAAGAAAUGCCAAAACUUUAUGGAAUCUUCUUGGUGCUGUAUUCUUGGGCAUAACAGGUACUGUCCUAGAAUUUUCUGGAAAAGUUUUAAGGAUUUUCUACUUCCGAAUUUAAUGAAUUUGAAAGCAAAAAACUCUGAAAUGGAUCUGCCAGUAAAGCUUCACUUGAACUACAAAAGGUUCACUUGAAUUUCAUAUAUUGAUUGGGACAGGAGCCGAGGCCAUGUUUGCUGAUCUGGGUCACUUCAACAAGCAAGCAAUUCAGGUGAGGAAUCACAAAACCAUCUAUGAUUGCAUUUACGUUGGAAAGGGAAAAUACAAAAUAGACGUGUUUACUCGUGAACCCAAAGAAUACAUAUAUGCAUAUUGCGUCACAGGCAUAUUUAGAUUUAAUAAAAAAUUAGAACGCUGUACAAAUUAAUGCACGAUCAUACUACUAUUUUUAUUGUAUAUUUUUGUGAUGAGUGAAUAUUUUGGUAAGUAUUUAUUCGUCUAAUUUCUGGCUAUCAUGGUUAUUUGGCUACUUGAUGGCAAGGCAACUUAGCUCAUUCGUUGUUUUGUGCAGUGGGCUUUCUCAUUCGUUGUUUAUCCAGCAUUAAUCAUCACCUACGCUGGUGAAACGGCUUACCUAAUCAAGUAUCCAGAGAAAAUCAAUAACGCCUACUACAGUUGCCUUCCGCGUCCAGUAUACUGGCCUAUGUUUGUCAUCUCCACACUGGCCGCCGUUGUUGCUAGCCAGUCCAUGAUAUCUGCAAGCUUUUCUAUCGUGAAGCAGUCACUGACCCUCGGCUGUUUUCCUCCAGUCAAAAUGGUUCACACUUCUUCCAAGCAUGAAGGGCAAGUUUACUCCCCAGAAGUUAACUACGCCCUAAUGAUUCUCUGUGUUGGUCUUGUCAUUGGAUUUAAAGGCGGCGUUGCACUAGCAAAUGCUUACGGUAAGCUUCCCUUCCCUUCCCUUCCCUCAAUUACUGUCGAUGAUGACCGUACUUACAUAUAUAUAUAUAUAUAUAUAUAUAUAUGUAUAUAUAUAUAUACUAGGGUAAUUAAAAAAAAAAAUGAAGUUCUGUUGGCUUCUAUCUGUACACAUUGCAGGUGUGGUUGUCAUCUGGGUCAUGCUCAUAACAACUCUUUUGACCUCGUUAGUUAUGCUCGUCAUCUGGAACUCCAAUAUACUUCUAGUCCUAGGUUUUCUCGUACCAUACGUAUUAAUUGAGGGCAUCUUCAUGACGUCCAUGCUUAACAAAAUUCCACAAGGAGGAUGGGUGCCAUUUGCCAUCUCAGCUAUCCUCGGGACUGUGAUGCUGUCUUGGACGUAUGGAAGGAGUAAGAAGAGCAUGUAUGAAGGAGGAGGAAAGAUGAGCAUUGGUGAGUUAAACCAGAAGCUAUCAAGCACUUGUAUCUUUAGAACGCCAGGAAUUUGCUUCUUUUUUACGGACCUUGUCGAUGGUAUUCCACCAAUUAUCCGGCAUUAUAUUCAGCACACUAAUUCAGUUCGUGAGAUAAUGGUGGUAGUUACCAUUAGAACUCUUCCCAUCAAAACUGUCCUACCAGAGGAACGUUUCGUUGUGGGCAGGUUGGGAGUUGAAGGAGUUUAUAGGUGUUUGGUUCAGCUGGGAUACAAGGACUCGCUAAAUAUGGAAGGUGGUGAUUACGCUCGAGAAAUUGUGGCUAAGCUACGAGGAAAUGCGGACACUACAGCCGAACAACGAAAACUUCAUUCUGCCUCAGAAAAUGAAACUGUUUUUGUCAUGGGCAGGACAAUUCUUGCUGCAAAUGAGAACGAUGGAUGGCUUGCCCGUUUCACCAUAGAGUAUUUGUACAGAUUUCUUCAAAAGAACUGCAGGUCAUCAGUUUCGGCACUUCAUUUGCCACCGGAAAAGACAAUGCAGGUUGGAAUGCUAUAUAGACUGUAAAGCAAAUCUAGGAAGUCGCCUAGUUUCUUAGUAUAUGGAUGCUAGUACAAAAUGAAGCCCUUCAAGCUAAUAUGUACAUGAGCAGAAGAAUAUCCAAUCCUCGUUCCGGUACCUAUAUGUUCAGGUCAAUAAGGCUACAUGCAAAAUCGAUUUCACGCUUAACUCGAAAGUGAGAACAAGUUAGCCUACUUUCAAGGAAAGGAAUCUAGCACACCACUUUUCUUGCAGCCUCUAAAUUGAAUAUCGAUUACACUUGCAAACUAGAGAUUCUCAACUGCUAUGUGACCAUCUACUAACUUUUGCCAUCGUCUAAUUUCAAGCUUGCACCCCCACUGAUUGAAGUAGAUUGUAACACAAAAUUUUCAUAAAUACUAGUCCAGAGGCCCUGCGCAUAGCGUGACCCGUGUUAAUAGUGUGUUUGUGUGGUGACGUUUUAAAUUUUUUUUUUUUGUAAUGUGGUGAAUGAAUUGAUGCAGAAAAAUAUUUUGCAAUAUGUAAAAUAAUUGCGAGGUAGUUUGUUUUGAUUGAAUGAGGGUAAUUGGAAAGAAUUAUUGGUAGGUUAUUAUAUAGAAUGUGAUUUAAUGUUGAAGUAAAACGAUAGCGUGUAUAUAUUGUAUAGUUAUGAAAUUGGACAAUAUGGGAAUAGUAUUAAAUGUUGAAAGGCAUAACUUUAUAGUUAUUUCAUAUUGCAGCAACUUUUGCAAGUUCAUUAUCGAAUAUGUGCAUUCGAUACUCGUUCAUGCCUAAGUGGGUAAUUAUGAGAGCAUAGCAUAGUCAAAUAAUAUGGUAUCAUAGCAUUUUUUUUGCAUUCAUAGGUUAAAAAUUUAUCUUCAACUUUGAUGUCCCAACAUUUGUGUUGGUAAUAGAAGAUGAUUAUAUUGUUUUUGUUUGGCAAUAUAUUUGCUGUAUCUUCUGGAUGGAAUUUGUGCAGAAUAACAUAAAUGGCUAAAAUAAAUUUAUGUGCAAUUUUUUUGUAUGUCUUUGGGUUAAUACCUGUUUAAAAAAUUUGGCUUCCUAAAAUUUCCAUGUCCAUGGGCUUGAUGACUACAUAAAAUGCAAAAUUUAUGAGGAAACUUUAUCUUGCAGAAAAUGCUUGCAAUUGUUAAAUAAAUAAAUAAAUAGGAAGUUGUAUUGUUAAAUUCUGUGGAUAUAUUUUAUUAUUAAUUAUGUUACCAUGUUGCUUUUGCAUAUGUGCUUUCAAUAGGGAUGAUAUUCCAUUCAUAGAAGCUAGUGUAGUGAUUUGGGUUGAAAAUUUGAACUCUAAAUGUCAUCACUCCAAUGUGGAAAAAAUGAAUUAGUGAGUUUGGCUGCAGAUUGCGAUCAUCAAUGAAUUUUUUCCAUCUAGAGUUUUGGGGAUUUUCAUCUAGUUUUAGAAACCAUAUUUUGUUUCCAACUUUGAAAAUUGCUUUUCUUCUUAUGUGUGGUUCCAAGUAAUGUAUAAUUUUUGGUGGUAUGACCUGCAAUUAAGAUCUAAAUAUGUGUUAAAUGUGUUUCGGAGAAAAAUUGAUGUAAAUUAAGGAAAUUUUAUAAAAUGGAUACCAAUGUAUCAUCGUCUAGCUCAUUAUACUGCAUCAAGAAUGCAUUGAUUGGAAAAAUUGUAAUGGACAUGUUGGUGCGAUGAAAUCCAAACCCAACACGACAAAUAAAAUAAUAGUUAGUUAUAUAAAGUAAGAUUGGAUGUAUUAGCUUUUUAUUUGUUUUAAAUAGUAAUUGUACUUGAAUGAAGAUGAACUGGUAGAUAUAAUUGUAUAAAAAAGGCAAAAAGAUAAUAUUUUUACAAUAUAAUUAAAAUACUCAUGAUCAUAAUUGUGUAAUAAAAUAUAAAGUUAAAAGCUCAAGGCAUACCCAGAACAAAUGCUAAGAAGAGAUCUAAAUUUGGUAGACACAAUAUUUUCUUUGCUUUAGUUUAGCCAGCACAACUUCUUCGGAUUUUUUUUAUGGAUAUAUUUUUUUUAUUUUCUUUAUGAAUACAUAUAAAUGUCUAUAUAAGUCGAAACUCAUUGUUCCAUGUAGAAUUUACAUUGCAUGGUAUAUUUUGUAACCAUCAUUGGAAUUACUUUUACAGCAAUCAAUUAAAGUAAUUAUUUGUUUAUCCAUGCAAAGCAUUCACCCUUUUAUAUACUUUUAUAUAUGCACAUGUGGUUCAUAAACCAAACAUUCGAAGAACCAAUUACGAAAUUAAUUGAAAAAAAAUUAAAAUAUCGAGAAUAAGAAAGAGUUUUUUUUUUUGAAAAUGAAAAAAAUGAAUUCUAAGAAUAUAAAAGAAGCCAGUAAAUUAUAGAAAAUAUAAAAGAAAAAGUCAUGGGAAACAAAAAAAGAACAGAGUAAAAAGGGGAAUUUUCCAAUAAACAAGAGCAGAGGUUGUCAAAAGCACGGUACAAAAAACCAGCCCAUUCGUCUGGUCCACAUAUGAUAACAGUAAGUAAACAAAAAUGAGGGUCAAAAGCCAAUAAAAUUACAAAGGAACCAAGCAACUAAAGCAUACAUGCUGAACUAAGGAAACAAUGAAUGGCAUAACAGAAAAAUAAGAGAUAUCCAAGCCUAAAGUAAUACUCAUAAAUAUGUAUGUGGGCCAUGUCUAUGGAUGAGAAGAGGCAAGAAAGACACACGUAAAAAUUACAAAGAAACCACUUUACUAUACCGUCGAUCUUCCCAUGUGCUGAGUAAAAGAGGAAUAAGAAAUGGCAAAACCGAAAAAUGAAUGACCAUUAAGGCUAAUCCUAAUCACUCUAACAACCGGAAAUGCAAGAGACCGACGCAAAUGGAUCGAAAUACCCUCAACAUUUCAAGCAAUGCCGAAAUACACCCUCUCUCACUGUUCAUUCAAGCAACCCUCACUUUUAUAUAGUUAGAUAGAUAGAUAAAUAAAAUAAAAAAUUAAGUUGGCAUACCAUGUAAAAAGAAGGGCAAUUGCUUGGUUACUUUCGAACAUCAAGUUACAAGCAUCUAUAAGUAUAUACAAAUGAGGUUACGAAAAAGAAGAUUAUAGGUGUGCUUGGAUAGUAAAUUAUUUUUUGAAAAAAUUAUUAUAGCAAUUUUUGAUAUGAUAUAUACGAGAUUAGAAGGUGAUUAAAACGUGUUUAUAUUAUAUUUUACACGCUCCAUGAGGCGAUGAGCCAUCAAGUGAUACCAUUCUUGUUUUUAAAACCUUCUUGUGUUUCUUUUACAAUAAUCCGUCUCACCCCAUGCGACCUUCCAUGCAAGUGAUACCAUUCUCUAGGACAAAGUUGGAAAGAAAACAAAAUCUAUCCGAGCAAAUACGAAUGGACAACUGGAGGAUGAAGCCGAGAAAAAUUUCUUGCCAAUGACAUCGUAAGAACAUUCUUGACUAAGAAACCCUUGAGCAACAUAGGAAGCAUAAACUACGAAAGUUUCGUGUGAUGUUUUCCCACUAAUCUGGAAUUCUUUCAAAUUACUAAUAAGCUCACACCCUAAACUCAAAGCACAAAACGCACUAAGCAAUCACAUAUUAACACCAUCCGAGAUACUUGUAUCAGCAUUCACAAAUUAAUAUUACAUCCAUGUAAAAAAUUAACUUCACAAUGUCUCGUCUGGGAAUGAACUGCCAAGGUCAGCUCGGCAUGGUAAAAGAAUCAGUCACCUUUACACUGAACAAACUGGUAUAAUUGCAAAGCAGAUGCGCAGCAACCAAAUCAACUAAUUUGCACAUAUCUCGAUGGAAAACAAAACUGCCAUUCAUUUCCUCCCAAUUCUUGUUUUAACGCCACCUGAAAUUUGGAACCAAGAAAACAAGGUUCUAGGAUCACAUCAAUCUUAUAAAAAAAAAAAACUACAGCUACAAACUACUGAAGUAACUCUGAAUAUUUAACCAACCUUCCACUUCUUCAAACUGAACUACCUUCACCAGGUCCGCAGCCGCAUUGUACUCAAACCUGCCAGAUCAAACACCAGUUAUCCAAUGAUAUCAACAAAAAAGAGACUUUUACCAUGCUGUCAUUUAGCUCAAACAAAGUAAUGAUAAAUUAUAACCAAGAUAAAGAGAGGUUAAAUUAUUGUGCUAAUGAUUUAUAGUAUGUUAUGCAGCAUGCUUAAACGUUAAAAGAAACACUUUUGACAGAAUAAAUCAAGAAUCCCAGCUUACAAAUAAAAAAUAUAAAAUUUAAACAUAUGAAGAAAAUACUAGAUCUUGUACCCCUUACUCGAAGCAGUUAUUUCGACCACAUAUAAAACAGAGUAUAUACCAUCUCAGCAGUUCAAAAACAUUACGAGGAGUUGUCGAAAGUGGAAGUUAUUUCUCUAAGAGACAAGAAGCAGGAUUGCAGCUUUACAGCAUAUGAAGAUAUGAAAGUUAGUAAGGAUGUAUAAUUGUUCGCUAAAGGAGCUGAGUAAACCAUUGCUGCAACCUUAAAUGAAUAGUAGUUGUGUGAUCAACAACCACAAAGCAGAAAGAACAUGAGAAACUGCGGCCAGAACAUAGGCUGUCCAUUACCUGUUAGAGUGAAGCACAUCCAGUUCAUAGUCAGAUGCACUUUUGGUAGCUUCUACCAGGGCAUUUACAAUCUCUGCCUUUCGAGUACUAGCCAUAAGUAUAUCAUACUCUGUUGGGAUAAUUAUAGCAAAAAAGUUAUCACCCAGUUCACUCAAACUCAGCUUCUCAACAGCUGCUAGUGCAAUCCGCCUUUUAAGUGCAUCGCAGUCUGGGUCUACUACAUAUAUUGCAAAAUCAGUAAUCAAAAGUAUACGAUGCUUCAUCUUCCCAGAACCAGUAAAUUUCAAAACUUUAUCUGCAAAGAGAACUUUACUGUCACCUGUGACAUCAAAAGUCCGAGAAAACUUAGCGUUCAAGGAAGAACAUUUCAGCUAACUGGUUAACACAAAACUGAGUACAAAUAACUCCUGACGAGCAACAACAACUUUCAGCCUAACACACUACAAACCAGAGGUCCAAAGGAAACACUCAAAGAGCACAUCAAGCAGGACCAUCAUAUGUAGAGUACCAAAAUUGAAAAAAAAGAUAGCUCAACACAGCUGUUGGAAAAACUCUAGAACACCAUUUUCGAAGUAGGUUUGUUAUAGUACUUGACAAUUCUAACACAAAUAUCAAAAGAAGAAAGGCAAACAGUCACCACAAUCAGAAAAUCAUACAAAAGACCACGAACAUCUUGAAUCAGAGCAACAAAAUAGAAUGGAUUAAAAAGAAAAAAAAACGCACUUGCACACUUGAGCGCACGAAAAAAUAAAUGCGCAAAACUCAUACGCCUGGUAAGAGUCACAAAACGGAGUUCUUAAUUCCUCCUUUUCAAAAUUAUAUAUUUCGCUUAGAUCCAUCUUAAUAUUACACAAAUACACUCAACUAAAUGAUCAACGAUGACAUGUCGAUAUUUGCUACUAUAAAGAAAAAAGACAAGCAAAAAAACUGAGUACAUUAAAAAAAAAUCCAACUGAAUUUGAUUAGAGGGAGCAGAACCAGUCCCUGGUUAAUUGAAGAACAAAUAGAUACACAAUAACACCAUGAUUAACUAAUGAUAAUAACAUCAAGAUAUCCAAGGCUUCAAAUUUCAAGUUUUUCCGAUACAAUUUCCCUAAAGCACUAUAAAACGACAACCGUCAAAUUAGAAUCGCGUCGAGAUUAAAAGGCUGCAAAUUAUUACCUUGUUUGCUGAGAAUCUUCAUGAGAUAUGAUCGAGAACGCACGUUGACAUAAUCUUUACUGAAAAGGGUGUUAUUUUGGAUUCCUCCGUUUGAGUGGCCGUUGUCUCGGGUUUCAGGGGAUGCGGUGUCUUCGUUGUCGUCAUCGUAAAUUGGCUGGUCUUUUUCCAGCCGCCGAUUGGAUUGGAACCGUGACAUCCCGGGAAAGGUGGCAAGCCGGCGGCUUCGGACGGUGCGGGAUGCCGCGCCGGUGGUUGUGGCUGCUGGAUUUGUUUAGGCGUGGAAACGGGAGAGAUUAGACAUUUCGGAGCACGGGGCGGCCCCACUUCAGUUGGUGGGGUUCCAGCUGUUGUGAUUGGGAAAAUGUCUAAGUUUAAUUACAUAAUGACUCCUUGAAAUUUAAUGAUGAUACCUUUCGACCCCUAUUAUUUGGACAAGUUCACUUGGCGGAGUGUUUUUCUUAGAUUCAUUGAAAGUGCAUCCUUUGCAAAUGUUUCCCUCCAAACGUGAAGAAGGAAAACCCAACAAUUCACCCAAUUCACCCACUAAUUUGAGAUGUUGGAUUGGGUAAGUUGAAUAUUGAGUCAAUUUUGAGUUAGAUAAUAAAAACCCACAUAUAUUUUGGAUUGUUUGGAUAUUUGUGUUGGGUACCCAUUACCCAACUUAAGUUAAAAAAAAAAUAAACUAAUUACAAGAGAUGGGAUAGGGGAUACAUAAACAUUUCAUUGUUCAUGAAACAACAUGAGACAUGAGCCAAAGCAGGGCCUCCAUGUAUAGAUACUUAACAAAAUUAUAUGAGCGGCUUAGCUAUAAUACUUACUUGCAUGCGUUGACGUUUUAUUAUUUUCCUAUAUUUAGAGCAUUCCACUCCUUUUACUUUCAUAAUAUUUUUUGCCACUUCUUCUUUUGUCAUGUAAUCAAAUAUAAGCCCAUCUGGAUUGUUAUUUUUUGAAAAUUAUAUUAAAAAAAACAUACUGUAACAAUUUAAUAUAUAUAUAAUAACAAAAUAAUUAAAAAAUGCAUUCAAUAAAACAUUAUAAAAUUUUUGGGAUAAAAUAACAAUCCAAGAAAGUUUGCAAAUACCAUAUCAUAUGUGUGUCUUUCCCACUUCUUGUUAUACUAGUACACCAAUAUGCCCCACUUCUUAAGUGUGCAUUUGUAUUUGUAAGUGUUUUAGUGUGUGAAAAUAUGUCUAUUUAUGUGUUUAUGUGUGUGAAAAAGUUGUUUUUAUGUGAAAAUAUAUUUAAGAGAGUUUAUGUAUCAAAAUCUAUUAAUUAAUAUAUUUGAUCAUAUUUGGGUCAUAGGUUUGAGAUGACCCAAUAUGAUCCAACUCAAAAUUAACCCAAUCUAAAGUUGAACGGAUUGGUGUAACCCAUUUAAAUAAAAAUCCAAUCCAACCCUCCCAAUUGCCAGAUAUAGUCGGGAGCAUAGAUAUGCUAAAAAUCCAAUCCAACCCUCCCAAUUGCCAGGUAUAGUCGGGAGCAUUGAUAUGCCUUGACAUUUUGAAGGAGCAGUGAACCAUAGAUGUGGUUUUUGGCUGCUUAUAGAUGGUUGUAAAUUGAUGUUCGAAAGUAACCAAGUAAUUGCCUUCUUUUUUACAUGGUAUCUCAACUUAUGAUCUUCCUUUUCAUAUUCUAUGUUUUGCUUGGGAGAGCUAGGACAAAUUAACCUCAUUUGUACAAUAUUUGAGAGAGAGAGAGAGAGAGAGAGAGAGAGAGAGAGAGAGAGAGAGUGAUCCAGCAUCUUCAUGCAAAUAGCAGUUAAGAACAACGAAAUGCAAAGUAGUUGACCAACCUCAUUUUACAUGGCAGGUAUUCUUGGACGAGCAAAAGAAGAUACAAGGACGUACUACCAAACAAUGCGACUAAUUAAAGCUCACUAGUUGAGCAAUUAGACAUAAUGGGAGAAAAAUUAAUACCAGCAUAUUUACUCCUUUAAUUGAAGUAAGAAUGGUACACUAUUGUUGACCAGAAGUCGAAGCUAUAUCCGCAGCAAUCGGUGUAAG
This 20810-nucleotide long non-coding RNA is filed under the name Coffea arabica (coffee). Its description in RNAcentral is "long non-coding RNA (CARA_LNC000855)". Lineage: Eukaryota; Viridiplantae; Streptophyta; Magnoliopsida; Gentianales; Rubiaceae. The record is from RNAcentral.